This 86-nucleotide transfer RNA is filed under the name Nematostella vectensis (starlet sea anemone). It matches the Rfam family "tRNA". From Rfam's summary of the family: Transfer RNA (tRNA) molecules are approximately 80 nucleotides in length. Their secondary structure includes four short double-helical elements and three loops (D, anti-codon, and T loops). Further hydrogen bonds mediate the characteristic L-shaped molecular structure. tRNAs have two regions of fundamental functional importance: the anti-codon, which is responsible for specific mRNA codon recognition, and the 3' end, to which the tRNAs corresponding amino acid is attached (by aminoacyl-tRNA synthetases). tRNAs cope with the degeneracy of the genetic code in two manners: having more than one tRNA (with a specific anti-codon) for a particular amino acid; and 'wobble' base-pairing, i.e. permitting non-standard base-pairing at the 3rd anti-codon position. The record is from Rfam by way of RNAcentral. Lineage: Eukaryota; Metazoa; Cnidaria; Anthozoa; Actiniaria; Edwardsiidae.
GCGUCGUUAGCGCAAUAGGCAGCGCGUCAGUCUCAUAAUCAAAUCUAGAAAUCUGUAGGUCGUAAGUUCGAUCCUCACACGGGGCA